GUUUGAUCAUGGCUCAGAUUGAACGCUGGCGGCAGGCCUAACACAUGCAAGUCGAACGGUAACAGGAAGAAGCUUGCUUCUUUGCUGACGAGUGGCGGACGGGGGAGUAAUGUCUGGGAAACUGCCUGAUGGAGGGGGAUAACUACUGGAAACGGUAGCUAAUACCGCAUAACGUCGCAAGACCAAAGAGGGGGACCUUCGGGCCUCUUGCCAUCGGAUGUGCCCAGAUGGGAUUAGCUUGUUGGUGGGGUAACGGCUCACCAAGGCGACGAUCCCUAGCUGGUCUGAGAGGAUGACCAGCCACACUGGAACUGAGACACGGUCCAGACUCCUACGGGAGGCAGCAGUGGGGAAUAUUGCACAAUGGGCGCAAGCCUGAUGCAGCCAUGCCGCGUGUAUGAAGAAGGCCUUCGGGUUGUAAA
RNAcentral lists this ribosomal RNA (422 nucleotides) under Escherichia coli. RNAcentral's name for it is "bacterial SSU rRNA". It matches the Rfam family "Bacterial small subunit ribosomal RNA", at positions 11 to 429 of the family's 1533-position model. Lineage: Bacteria; Pseudomonadati; Pseudomonadota; Gammaproteobacteria; Enterobacterales; Enterobacteriaceae. The record is from RNAcentral.